Malania oleifera is the source of this 1862-nucleotide RNA transcript. RefSeq lists it as uncharacterized. NCBI's taxonomy places the organism in Eukaryota, Viridiplantae, Streptophyta, Magnoliopsida, Santalales, Ximeniaceae. The transcript has 11 exons. The record is from RefSeq and is a predicted model, not a curated record.
AAAAUUGCGUAAUGCGGGCCGAUGGCGCCAAAUAGUAUUCAGUAGAAAGGCCAACUUUAAAGGCAUCUCUCCGUCUCCUCCUCCUCCUCUCUCUCUCUCUCUCUCCCUCUCUCUCUCUCUCUCUCUCUCUCUCUCAGUUUCAUGAAAGCUUGAUACUUGAUAGUUCUUCCGUGUCGUUGUUCCCCGUGAAGAGUUCUUGGUUCCUCCGCCGAGCGUCCCGCCGUCUUCCUCCACAGGUGCCUGCUCCUCUCUCUCUCUCUGAGUUUCGAGAAACCUUGACCAUGCGUUUGGGAGUAUGGAAUUCGGAUCUUGCCUAAUUUGUGCUCCUAACCACUACCUGAGAGGUUCAGCGGUUGUACCAACCUCCACACAAAUGUCACAUGAGACACAGAGGGAAUACUUUUUGAAAAAGAAAAGGAGAGCCGCUGAAAAUAUAUUGAUCAUGUAAUACUUUUUUUUUUUGAAAGAAAAGAUUCAUGAUUUGAUAGAACAUUGCUUACUAUUUUAUACAAAUAAAAAUGAGACUGCCAAGAUCCUUUCAGAUGAAGCAAGCACAUGACCUCGCUUUACAACUGCAGGGUUCAGCAGGAGUACCAAUCUCCGUGCAAAUAUCACAUGAGACACGAAGUAAAUCCUUUUCAAGCAAGAAAAGGAGAGUUACAGAAGACUAUGUUGAUUAUAUUCAGAUGCAGAUAGAACUAUGCUUGCAGAAUUGUAUGAAUAGAAACCAGACCAUUGAGAUCCUAUCAGACCAAGCAGAAAUAAUUCCUGCCCAUACAACUGCAAUUUGGAAGGUGCUGGAGGAAGAAAAUGCUGAAUUUUUCGAGGCCUACUACUUGAAGUUAAUUGUGAAGAAGCAAAUUGGUGUGUUCAAUCAAUUACUUGCCAGACAUUGCUCACAGAAGCAGUCACAGAAUCUUCAAUUGUAUCAUAUGCAGAAUGCUGUUUAUCCUUUGUUUGAUUGGGAGCAACUGGAAAAAGAUAAUGCUGAACUUUUCGAGGUCUACAAGCUGAAGUUAAUGUUGAUGGUGCAAAUUUGUACAUUCAAUGAAUUACUUGAGAACCAUCGCAACCUGAUGAACUCACAAAAUGUUCCAUUGGAUCAUACAAAGAAUACCUUUGAUCCUGCGGAUAUUUGGGAUAGAUUGAAAGAAAAAUAUGCCAAAUUUCGCAAGGACACUAAGAUGUUCAUUACCAAGCAGCACAUUAGAAGGAUCAAUCAAUCAUUAGUGACUUAUUGCUCCCGGCAGAACUCACAAAAUGUUCCAUUGGAUCAUACGCAGAAUAUCAAUCAUCCUGUGUCUAGUCCUUCGAGCCCCGGGGAACACCCAAGUUAAUGGAAUACCUGCAGCACUAUACAGCUUUCAUCCGGCACAAACUAAUAAGAAUAAGAGUGCAGCAGGCAGUACCUGCUAACCCUAGUAGUGAUUUCAUGUUGGCAAUGGUUUUUUGAGUCCUGCAUCAAGGUCAUCAAUGGGCACAUCACUUCCACUCAGUUAGAGAUGUUAAGAAUGAAUGCAUAUGCCUCUCAAGUAUGGGAAGAUCAGAAGUUAUUUGAAGGACUUGAUGGCCACUUGACUAUGAGCUUUGUAUUCUUCUUUUAGCUCCAGCAGUGAAUGUUGUGCUGAUCUCUGAAAUAUUUAUGUUCAAAUUUAAUGUCCAUAUUCCAAAACUUCUUCCAAAUGCUUCCACCAAAAGUUAUAGAAACACGAGGCUGCUCUUUCACAAAUUAUUAGAAUGAUCCGCACGUGUUUUUUGUGUGUGAAGUUAAGGCAGUGGCUUUAUUGUUAGUGCUGUUGUUGUACCUGAGUUAGUAGAUACGAGAAUUUUGUAGAUAUUGUCAUAACUUUUGUUCGAUCGCC